CCUGGCGGGCCGGAUACGGCCCACGGGCCGUAUGUUUGACACUCCUGCCUUACGGCCUGAAGGAAUGCUGUCUGGUUUGUGUGUGGAAAUUAUUGAAAUUUCUCCUUUCAUACGUCCUGUUUAUAUGUUUUGAUCUGUGGUAAUAAAGUCAUAUCUGACAAUACUGGAGGAACCUUUUCCCUCCAAUGUUGGACAGUUGUUUUUUUUGCAAAAGCAUCAACCGGCAAAACCUGUUGAUCUUUAUCUGUACUUGAGCUUUGCAUUACAUUAGAUCUUCUCUAUUUUGUGAGGCUUUCUAACUUGAAACAUGUUUUUUCAUAAUCCCAAAUCCUUUAGUUGUUAAUGUAAUAAAAAUGCAUUUUUUAAUGUAUUUAUCCAUUCAUCCAUCCAUUUUCUUAAUCUGUUUGAUUCCUGUCGAGGUCACGGAGUUGCCAGACACUAACCUGGCUACUGUUGGACAAGUUGCCAGUCUGAUGCCGAGCCACACAAUCACACACCCAUUCAAAAUUCAACUUUAGAGUAAUCAGUCAACCUAUGACGCACGUCUUUGGACUGUGGGAGGAAGCCAGAGUACCUGGGGAAAACCUAUGCAUUCCCGGGGAGAACAUGCAAACUCCACGCAGAAGGAAAAUCUCCCACUGAUCUCCUCAACUUCCUUCAUCAGAAAAAUCUAAGUGAAUCAUGAAGCAGUAUUCCAGAUUGAUGUGUUUGGCGCUGACCGUCCCCGUGUCCACUGCGUCUGUCCAGCGGACAUUUUUUCGUCUCUAAAGUGAAUUCAAACCUACGCAGAAACACAACCGGACAGACUGGGCUCUCAGGACUGGCCUUGAUGGAAUAGAAAGGACUUCUGGAUGGAACUGAAGCGAUAAUCUACAUGACAAGGUGAUGGACUGUUUUUGAGGAAAGAGAGGAGGAUGGAUUAUGUCUUCAAAUAUUCCUAUUUUUUGAUGUGUGAAAUGAUACAUUCCAUAAUAAAUAAUAUUCCAAAUGUA
This is a long non-coding RNA of Oryzias latipes (Japanese medaka), 992 nucleotides long. RefSeq lists it as uncharacterized. Lineage: Eukaryota; Metazoa; Chordata; Actinopteri; Beloniformes; Adrianichthyidae. The record is from RefSeq and is a predicted model, not a curated record.